UCAAAAUAUAUAAUUUUUUUCUAAAAAAUUGUUCUUAUUUAGUAGGUUAGCUCUUAAUUCAUUUGCUUAUAAUGGAAAAUGAAAUACAGUUUACGGUGAAAGAACAUAUCACAGCUGUAGGUGGAAGCUACAAUCAUAUUUUCAACUAUGAUACAACGCUUAUCACAUCACUAUACUUCACAACCUCCAAUGGCUUUACCUCUCCAUUAUUUGGUGAGAUGAGUGGAGAAGAAUUCAAUCUCAAAGGUGAAAAUGGUGGAAAGCUUCUUGGAUUCCAUGGACGUGGUGGUUAUGCUAUUGAUUCCAUUGGGGCUUUCUUCGAGACACACUCUAGUGGAUCCCAAAAGUUGUCCAAAAAGAUGGGACCGAUUGGUGGUAUUAAGGGAAAUACAUUCGACGAUGGUGUUUUCGAUGGUGUGAAGAAAAUAACUGUGGGGAAAGACAUGUAUGGUAUAACUUAUAUCAAGAUCGAAUAUGCAAAUGACGGAAAAUUGGAAACUCGUGAACACGGGACGGCUAGCGCGGAACUAGAAGAGGUGAAAAUAAAUAAAGGGUCUUUUGUGAAUUUUGUUAAUAUUCAAUUGGUUUGCUACUAAUUCGUUUGUUUAUAAUGGAAAAUGAAAUACAGUUUACUGUGGAUUAUCCAAAAGAACACAUUACAGCCGUUGGUGGAAGCUACGAUCAUAUCUUUACCUACGAUACAACGCUUGUGACAUCCCUCUACUUCACAACCUCCAAUGGAUUUACCUCUCCAUUAUUCGGUAAAAAUAGUGGAAAAGAGUUCAAUCUCAAAAGUGAAAAUGGAGGAAAGCUUGUUGGAUUCCAUGGACGUGGUGGCACUGCUAUUGAUGCCAUUGGGGCUUACUUCGACACCGGUUCAAAAGGAGGUGAAGGAGAGAGCUCCGGCAGCAACGAUACAAAACCUGUUGACACUGACACCAAACCCGGCAAAGACGAUUCAAAACCUGAUGCCUCGGGAAAGACGGGACUGCUUGGUGGUAAAGGUGGAAACGCAUUUGACGAUGGUCGUUUUGAUGGUGUAAAGAAAAUAACUGUGGGAGCGGAUGAUUUAAGUGUGACCUAUAUCAAGAUAGAAUACAUUAAAGAUGGAAAGGUCGAAAUCCGUGAACAUGGGACGAAUCGCGGGGAACUAAAAGAGGUUAGAUUGAAUCAAUCAAAAGUCUUUUUGUGUGUGAAUUUUGUUUUUAUUCAAUUGGUAUGCCACUAAUUCGUUUGUUAAUACAGUUUUCGGUGGAUUAUCCGAAAGACAAGAUCACAGCCGUUGGUGGAAGCUACGAUCAUAUUUUCACCUACGAUGCGACGCUUGUCACAUCACUAUACUUCACAACCUCCAAUGGAAUCACCUCUCCAUUAUUCGGUAAAACGAGUGGAAAUGACUUCAAUCUCAAAGGUGAAAAUGGAGAAAAGCUUGUUGGGUUCCAUGGACGUGGUGGCACUGCUAUUGAUGCCAUUGGAGCUUACUUCGACACUAGCAGCGAUUCCAGUACUCAAAGAGUGGACGCACAAGGAGGCAAGGGAGGCAUUCAAUGGGACGAUGGAGGCGAUCACGAUGGUGUGACGAAGAUACUUCUUGUAGGUAGUGGUCGAGGUAUUGAUCAAAUCAAGUUCGAUUAUCUCGAAAACAAGCAGCCAAAGGAAGGAACCCUCCAUGGUGUGAAAGGAAGAAGAAGUUUCGAAUCAACGGUCAGUAUAUAUAUAUAUAUAUAUAUAUUUUUUUUUUAGCUCAAAGAACAUUUUCUGUCAAAAUGUUGAUUUGAGAUUACUUAAAAUUUCCAUCUCGUAAAUUUUCGUGUUUUCUGCAGAUUGAGAUAAGUCAUCCCAAUGAGUAUCUGGUUGCCGUCAAGGGUUGGUACGAUUCAUCCAAUGUCAUUCAAGGACUUCAAUUCCAAACCAGCACAAAGACUUCCGAUUACUUUGUGUCUGGAUUUGCUGGAGAAGGUACAGAGUUUACACUUGAAGUUAAAGACAAGAAGAUCGUCGGUUUUCAUGGCUUUGCCGACUCUGGUCUCUAUUCUCUUGGAGCUUAUUUCGCUCCAAUCACCAAAUGAUCACCAAUUGAAAGUUUGUUGUGUUUGUUUCUUGAUUUCCAUAUGAAUAAAGUUAUAUCAGAGACAGACUUGUAGAUUUGUCACCUCAAGGUCUCUUGAUGGACUAUGAGUUAUGUUUGUGUUUCAACUUGAUGUUUGUGUUGUCGCUUGUUGUUUUUAAUAAAUGAUGUCUGUUCGAUCUAUUUUGAUUGUGUUUCUCUCUGAAUCUUGUUACGACUACAAAAGGUUUUUGUCUUAGCUAGUAAGUAUUUGCUACAUUUUUAUCUUCUUACCACAAUAUGUUGGAACUUUGAAUGAGUCGCACGAACAAGAUCAAGGAGGAUGUUUGCUUAAUAAUUAGGAUUGUGGCUUUAAACUGUAUGACGAUAAAGUAAUUGUUGUGAACGUAAAAAAGUUAAAGCCAUACUUUUUUGUUUUUAGAAAAAUGUGUCCAUCAUAAAGGAAAAUGAAAGAAAUGGACUGUGAUGCUUUUUGUGAAGUAGUUUUAGGAUUUGUAUAACUUUAAAAUAAAUAAAGUGGAUAAAAGAAAACUAUUACAAUUUUUUUAAAAAGUUCUCACAACCUUUAAAAUUAAUUUACCUAACAAUAUAUAAUAUAUAAAAUAAAUAUAGAAUACGUAUGCUAUAAAUGAAAUGAAAAAGAAACAAAUUGAAUACUUGUAUAAUAUGUAUACUGUUUAGAGGAUUUUCGGUUUUCGAGUAGGGGCAAGUCUCCUACAAAUCGGAGAAAACGUGAAGAUUCAGAAAACACGAUAGAGUGUGUUUUUCGAAAACUCUGCGAUGCUCAAAUCAGAAAAUAGCUCGAAAAUUUCACUUAAUUGCCAAUUAAAAAGCAGAAAGGAGCCGGAAACUUAUGAAGAAAAGUGGACCGAGAAUCCUCAUAAAGAGUAGGAUUUACUCAGGCCUUUUAGUGGAAUUGGGCUUUUCAGGGUGAAAAAAAAAUACUCCACGGUUAGGAACCGCCGUGGAGUGGUAAUGAAGAAAAGCGACCAAAAAUAUAGUCAGAAAAGAGUAAAGUGUAUGUACUUACGAACCACAAGUAUUUAAAGUGAACUCUUUUUUCGUGGAAAAGGGUAAAGUAUUUAUAAGGAGUUACGGACUCUGACUAGUAUACCGGAUCGGUCUAUAGACGGUGGUUUGGGUGGGUCGACCCAUGAUCCGACUUGACUGGGUUCGAAUCUUAUGAUGGCGUCAUGCUUCUGAUGGCCUCAUCAACUUUUCUUGGCAGCGUCCUUUUUGUUCUCAGUAUACGAGUCAGAUUGGCGGUUCAGACGCGGUAUGGCUCUUUACUGAACCUCUUUUUUUUUCCUGGCUCUUGCGAAAAGUCAUUGUCACUUGACAUACGUUAGGAAAACAAAUUAAAUGUCAAUCUUGUGGAUAUGUAAAGGUGUGGACAAUUAAAUCAAACUAAGACAUAUUCUUAUUGUCGAAUGGAGGGAAAUUUGAAUAAUGUUCCCGGUUAAGUAGUUUAUUCAUACCUGGUUCGGAUCCCUCGAUAUUGGGAUUGGACUGCUGCAGAUGGAUGAUUUUGUUUUCCGGAUACCUGUGCGAGCCACACUUUUUUAUAUUCCGAUCUUUUCAGAUCACCGAGUUUAGGUCUAGGACAUAGAGAAUAUGACUUCCUCUCCUUCUGACCACUUAGUUUCCAACUUUUUUGUUUUUGAUAGUGUGAUCUAUAUUGUCAGACACGAGGAGUCCGGGAAUAGAUGGCCUAUCGUAUUGGAUUUCCCAAAUCCGAUGGAUUCGUUACCCAAUACUAUAAGUUUAGGCCAUAUUAAAUCGACGGCCUAAUACGUGUCCUAAUUUAGCUUAGAGGGUUUACAAAAAAUCAUAAAGUAUAAACACGCGAUUCACCACUUAAGAAAAAUUGAAUUGAUAUAUUAAAGUUGCUUUUUUUUUAGUCAGUUUGCUAUAAAUACCAAAACUUGGUCAAAAUUAGCUGAAUAGGAAUGACAAGACGUAAAUCUAUCUCUACAGUGUUUGGUUGGAAUGUUAAUUACCAUAUAACCCUCAUUUCUCAGUCUCUCUCUUUCCUUUCUUUUAUAUUUAAAAACGAAGAAAAAUUAGUUGUAACAAGUUACAUGUUAUUGUAGCAUGUUAAAAAUUAUUGUAUUAUGUAAAUAUGUAGGUUAACUGCUAACUUUUAGCUUAGCACGAUAACAUAGUUGAUAUCAGUUAACUUUUAUGUUCUUUUUCGUCGGAACAUUAACAUUUUCCUAGAUGUGAUGAUUUUGUUACAAGUUAUAUUUGAUUGUAAUACGUUAAUUUAUGUAUUGUACCUCUAACGUUUGUUUUAACAUGGUAACUUAAUAAUUUUCUGUUUAACUUACAUGUUACCUCUAAAUGUUUAUAUGUUAUUAUACCAUUUAAACAUUUAGAUAUAGCUCUAACUUUAUAUUUCACACGACAAAUAAAAUCUUGAAUCAUCAACUUUCAUCUUCAAUCUCCAGAAAAACCCAAUAUAUGAACCAUUGUCGCCGAUAUCAAAAUCGAUCUAAAUUCCCAGAAAAUUCACAGCCAAAUUUGCACUUCCACCUAUUUUUGUAUUAUCCACAUCCAUAUCUUUGGUGUUCAUUCCUUUGACAUAGAUAAUCUUAUAAAGUGUUUUUGGUGAGUGUGUGUAAGAGAUUGAGUGAAGGAUUGUAAAAAAAUUAAAGAUUUGUGAGGAAAGAGAAAGAUGAACGACGGAAAUAUGGUAUGAAGAAGAAGAAGUUGUGAGAGAAAAAUAUUAAGGGUAAUAAUGUCAUAUUGAAAAGUAUACAGAAGAGUAAUAUUGCGUUUUCCUAUUUUGCAAAUUAUGAACAAUCAUGAGGUUAUCUACUACAAAUACUUUUUUUUUUUCAUGAUUGACACGUAAGCAUGCAUGCUGCGUAGCCGUCAUUCAAUGACUGAAAUGUUAUGUCAUUUUUUUUGGUGUACCAAAUGGCAAAUGCAUGGUUUAUUCUGUGCAGCCCUUUUUUAAUAAAUAUUAAACUGGUACAAUCAGAUUUGGCUUGUUUGCCAAUAGUUUCUAUUUCUAUUCCAAUAUUACUAGCUCUAACUAUCUAAGAAUAAACUUAAACUAGAUUUUAUCACGUGCAUCCGCACGGAAAAUUUGUUUUAAUCAAAAUUUGUAAUCUAAUUUAUGUUUCUUUAUAAAUAUAAUUUUUUAAUAAGUGAUAUAAAAAAAAUUAUGUUUAGAUAUAAUUUUUUUUUUUUUUUUUCAGUAUUAUUAUGACUACUAUGAUCAUAAAAUAAUUUUAGUCUGGUUAUUUUAUUAAUAAAAAAUGACUGUUAUUAUAAAAAUAAAUUUCUAACUCGUUCAUUUUAUUAAUCCGAGAAAGAUCAUGAUUAUGAAACCGUAAUUAUAAAUCCGUCCGUUUAUAUUACUUUAUAAUAUAAAUAUUUACUAGUUUUGAAAUAAUUUUCUCCUAAUAUCUUGCAUUCUCUAAUAACCUAAACAGCAUAAGACCAUAAUUAUUAAAAAAAAUUAAUUUGUCCCAUCAAAUUAUUAUAUAAUAUUAAUCUUUAUCUAUUUUUAAUAUGUGAAAUUUUAAUCUGAUAGAAUAUGAUUAAAAAAUAUAAUAAGAUAUUUGUUAAUCAUAUGUGUUAUUUUGAAAAUCUUAUUUAAAUUUCAAAUGUUAAAUUAAAUCUAACAUAUAUUUAAGGAAGUCUAUUUAAAUUAAUAUCUAUAGACUAUAGAUAUAACCUAUAUUUAAGAAAAUUUUUAGUUAUCUAAAUUAAUAUCUAAUUUUCAAAAUUAAAUUUAUAUAUAUUAAAAAUAUUUUAAAAAAAAAUUUUAGGAGUGUUUGUAAACAAACACUAAAAUUAAUUCUGUUUUAAUAUAAUAGAUUCGAUAAUUAAAAAACAAAGAACAAUAUAGCUGUGUCAGCCAAGAUGCCGUAAAAUUUCCGAUAUUUGAGACUGUAAUGAUUGCUUCAGUUGAAGUGAGUUUGAUUGAAUAAUCAAGAUGAUAAAAAAUCCAGAAAUUUCGUUUGACGAGAGAUGUUUGGUCUGAGGAAUGACCGGAAGUUUGGUCUAAUUAAGUCUUUGAAGAAAAGCCAACAUAGACAUACCGCUUCAAAAUCGGUUUUCUACAUUGCGUCAGUACUGUAGUAAAUUAUAGUCCCUUCUUUGUGGGAGAUGGGAUUUUCGAACUGAAACAAGAAGAAACUAAGAGAAAAAAUAGGAAUGAUGACAAAUAUUUAUUUAAAAUUUCUUUAUUAAUGUGUGAAUAAAUUUAUUACAAAUUUGCAUUUUACCGUGGUCUAUUACAGUCUUCUAGUCGCUCAAGCAAAACUUCAUAUCAUAUUUUUUAUCAUUAUGCAGAAGUAUAUUCAUCUGCGGAGGAAUAGUGGAUUGAGGUGACAAAACUUGGGCUAAAUUCAUAAGUUACUUGGAUUUUUAUUUGUUUAGGAAGCCAUUCUCUCUAACGUUCAUAACAAAUUCACCCGUUUUCGAGAAUCGCACCUACUGCCACUGUAAUGUUUUUUUCUCUCAAAUAUGUAAGUAUCAGUGUAUCAAAGACUCAAAAGGAGACUGGAAUUAUCUUGUAAAAAUUAAAAUAAAUGUUACGAUUCUUUUUUAGUUAAUUUGAUUUUUUAAUAAUUUUCUAACCCAAUUUUUAUAUAGCCGAUCGACUCGAGAAAAAAAAAACUGGGGCUAAACCGCGUUAACGGCUCUAAUAAUAUGUUCUCCUAAUUACAGAAUCUUUUUCUUUCUAAAAUUCCUAAUUACAGAAAAUGCCACUGAAGUAGUUACACAUGUGAAGAGCAUGGUGCAAGGGUAUCAUUUAUACAAAAAAAAUUAGGCUUCAUUUGGUUAGACCAUUUUUUUAUGGUCGGUGAUAUUCUUUUUUCUUUUUUUCUUGUAUAACCAAAAAAUGUUGAAUAUCGCCAUGUGACAAAAAAAUUAACGUUAACUAACCUUAUCACCGAAAUGGCAAUAAAUAUCAAACCAUUUGCCAUCCCCAAUUAUUGCAUUCACUCUCCUCCUCCACAUCUUCUCACUCAGGUACUCUCUCUCUACCUCUCUCUCACACUCUCUCUCUCUCUAUCUCUCUCCUCUCUCUCUCUCAUUUUCGAGUUUCUAGAUUAUUCUAUUCAUCCGAUCAAAACGAGCUACAGUAGAGAUUAAACAAAGACUAUGAAAGAAGUUUUUAUGUAUUUAAUAAAAGACCUUCAAGAAUUUAUGAACAAAGCAUUUUUGUGGCUAUGCAUGUUGAUAUCAAUUAUUGUCCCGAUUUUAUUUUCAAUAGUUUUCGUGUUUUUUCGGUAACACUUGUCUCCUUUCCUUUCUUUAAUUCUUCUAUAUACACAUUAUCAUUAUGUUUUGUUUUAUUGUUAAUUUCCAUUCUUCAAUUUAACGAUAUAAUUUUCUUUUGUUUUUAGUCGUACAUUAAUAUAUUUUAUUUUCAUGGCUUUUAAAAAAUAAAAGAGAUUGUUUUGUUUUCACACAAUAACGAAUUGACUUCGUAAGGUUUAGAUCGGUUGAAAUUAAACCAGAUCCAGACCGGUUCAUUUUAGAAAGAUACAGAAAAACACAUUCGAUGUUAAUAAGUACAAUUAUAUAUCGUGUAAUUUGAGUUUGAUCCAUCACACUCCUUAGUGGCCAAUCAAAGAUGUUAGAGUAACUGCGUUUUGUUAUUAUUUUUCUGGAAAUAUAUUGUGGAAAAAGGUAAUAUACAAGUCUAAACUUCUUUUUUUGGAAAUAUUUAAUUUUUAUCCAUAAUUUUCAGGAUAUAUUUGACUGAUCGUCUUAACGGCCACGAUGUCUUGGGAUGACGGAAAGCACACGAAGGUGAAGAGAGUUCAGCUUACGUUCGAUGACGUCAUCAGAUCCAUCCAGGUCGAGUACGUCGGAACCACCCUCCAGUCUCAGCGACGUGGCAACGGCGGCACCAAAUCUGACGGAGUUAGUAACAACAGUGCUAACAACAUUUUAGUAUUUAAGAGUGUUUUAACUGUAAAAGAUUAUAUUAAACAAUUGUGGUUUGUUAAUUACAUAUCUUUUUUUGUUGUUGGCACAUGCAGUUCACACUGAGCUCGGACGAGUACAUAACGGGAUUGUCUGGUUACUAUAGAACGACUUUUUCGGGAGACAUUAUAACGGCGUUAACGUUUAAGACGAACAAGAAGGCAUAUGGCCCUUACGGAAACAAAACUCAACACUACUUUUCCGCUGAAGCACCCAGUGGUAAUCAAAUCGCCGGAUUUCUAGGAACCUCCGGCAAUGCUCUCAACUCCCUAGACGUUCACUUUGCUCCCAUUCCUCCCGCUGGUAGCAUCGGACCAAAACCUGAUGAACCCGAAACCAAACCUCCCGGCCAAGAAGAUUCAAAAGGUGAUGGCUCCGGAAUCAAACCUCCCGGCCAAGAAGAUUCAAAAGGUGAUGGUUUCGAAACCAAACCUCCAGGCCAAGAGGAUUCAAAAGGUGAUGGCUCCGGAACCAAACCUCCUGGCAAAGAAGAUUCAAAAGGUGAUGGCUCCGGAACCAAACCUCCUGGCAAAGAGGAUUCAAAAGGUGAUGGCUCCGGACCAAACCUCCCGGCAAAGAAGAUUCAAAAGGUGAUGGCUCUGGAGCCAAACCUCCUGGCCAAGAAGAUUCAAAAGGUGAUGGCCCCGGAAAGACUGGGCUGAUCGGUGGUAACAGUGGAGACGCAUUUGAUGAUGGUCGUUUUGGUGGUGUGAAGAAAAUAACUGUUGGAGCAGAUGAAUACAGUGUGACUUACAUCAAGAUUGAGUACGUAAAGGACGGAAAAGUUCAAACCCUUGAACACGGGACUAUUCGCGGGGAACUACAAGAGGUCAGAAUGAAUUAAUUUUUUUUUUUUUGUGAAUUUUGUUAAUACUCAAAUGGUUUGGUACUAAUUCAUGUGUUUCUAAUGGGAAAUCAAAUACAGUUUUCGGUGGAUUAUCCAAAGGAACAUAUCACAGCUGUUGGUGGAAGCUACGAUCAUAUUUUUACCUACGAUACAACGCUUAUCACAUCGCUAUACUUCACAACCUCCAAUGGAAUUACCUCUCCAUUAUUUGGUAAGCAGAGUGGAAAAGACUUCAAUCUCAAAGGUGAAAAUGGAGGAAAGCUUGUUGGAUUCCAUGGCCGUGGUGGAGCUGCUAUAAAUGCCAUUGGAGCUUACUUUGACACCAGUUCGAAAGGAGGUGACGAUACAAAACCUGUUGACACUGACACCAAACCCGGCAAAGACGAUUCAAAACCUGAUGCCUCGGGAAAGACGGGACUGCUUGGUGGUAAAGGUGGAAACGCAUUUGACGAUGGUCGUUUUGAUGGUGUAAAGAAAAUAACUGUGGGAGCGGAUGAUUUAAGUGUGACCUAUAUCAAGAUAGAAUACAUUAAAGAUGGAAAGGUCGAAAUCCGUGAACAUGGGACGAAUCGCGGGGAA
Molecule: long non-coding RNA, 9449 nt
Filed under: Eutrema salsugineum
Lineage: Eukaryota; Viridiplantae; Streptophyta; Magnoliopsida; Brassicales; Brassicaceae
Description: long non-coding RNA (ESAL_LNC000288)
Source: RNAcentral